GACGAACGCUGGCGGCGUGCCUAAUACAUGCAAGUAGAACGCUGAAGGAGGAGCUUGCUUCUCUGGAUGAGUUGCGAACGGGUGAGUAACGCGUAGGUAACCUGCCUGGUAGCGGGGGAUAACUAUUGGAAACGAUAGCUAAUACCGCAUAAGAGUAGAUGUUGCAUGACAUUUGCUUAAAAGGUGCAAUUGCAUCACUACCAGAUGGACCUGCGUUGUAUUAGCUAGUUGGUGGGGUAACGGCUCACCAAGGCGACGAUACAUAGCCGACCUGAGAGGGUGAUCGGCCACACUGGGACUGAGACACGGCCCAGACUCCUACGGGAGGCAGCAGUAGGGAAUCUUCGGCAAUGGACGGAAGUCUGACCGAGCAACGCCGCGUGAGUGAAGAAGGGUGUCGGAUCGUAAAGCUCUGUUGUAAGAGAAGAACGAGUGUGAGAGUGGAAAGUUCACACUGUGACGGUAUCUGACCAGAAAGGGACGGCUAACUACGUG
RNAcentral lists this ribosomal RNA (495 nucleotides) under uncultured bacterium. Its description in RNAcentral is "partial 16S ribosomal RNA". It matches the Rfam family "Bacterial small subunit ribosomal RNA", at positions 28 to 507 of the family's 1533-position model. The record is from RNAcentral.